UACGGAGGGAGCUAGCGUUGUUCGGAAUUACUGGGCGUAAAGCGCGCGUAGGCGGCUUUGUAAGUUAGAGGUGAAAGCCCGGAGCUCAACUCCGGAACUGCCUUUAAAACUGCAUCGCUUGAAUCCAGGAGAGGUGAGUGGAAUUCCGAGUGUAGAGGUGAAAUUCGUAGAUAUUCGGAAGAACACCAGUGGCGAAGGCGGCUCACUGGACUGGUAUUGACGCUGAGGUGCGAAAGCGUGGGGGAGCAAACAGGG
This 255-nucleotide ribosomal RNA is filed under the name uncultured bacterium. RNAcentral's name for it is "partial 16S ribosomal RNA". It matches the Rfam family "Bacterial small subunit ribosomal RNA", at positions 524 to 777 of the family's 1533-position model. The record is from RNAcentral.